GAUGAACGCUGGCGGCGUGCCUAAUACAUGCAAGUCGAACGAAACUUCUUUAUCGCCGAGUGCUUGCACUCACCGAUACAGAGUUGAGUGGCGAACGGGUGAGUAACACGUGGGCAACCUGCCCAAAAGAGGGGGAUAACACUUGGAAACAGGUGCUAAUACCGCAUAACCAUAGUUACCGCAUGGUAACUAUGUAAAAGGUGGCUAUACUACCGCUUUUGGAUGGGCCCGCGGCGCAUUAGCUAGUUGGUAGGGUAAAGGCUUACCAAGGCAAUGAUGCGUAGCCGAAUUGAGAGGUUGAUCGGCCACAUUGGGACUGAGACACGGCCCAAACUCCUACGGGAGGCAGCAGUAGGGAAUCUUCCACAAUGGGCGAAAGCCUGAUGGAGCAACGCCGCGUGGGUGAAGAAGGUCUUCGGAUCGUAAAACCCUGUUGUUAGAGAAGAAAGUGCGUGAGAGUAACUGUUCACGUUUCGACGGUAUCUAACCAGAAAGCCACUGCUAACUACGUG
This 512-nucleotide ribosomal RNA is filed under the name uncultured bacterium. RNAcentral describes it as "partial 16S ribosomal RNA". It matches the Rfam family "Bacterial small subunit ribosomal RNA", at positions 28 to 507 of the family's 1533-position model. The record is from RNAcentral.